Delphinapterus leucas (beluga whale) is the source of this 1554-nucleotide long non-coding RNA. Lineage: Eukaryota; Metazoa; Chordata; Mammalia; Artiodactyla; Monodontidae. The record is from Ensembl.
AAGGUACUGGGAGUUUGGGGACUAGAGGACUAGGGCAGGGAGACGGGGGAAGAGAGGAGGGGAGAGAGAGAGGCGGAGGGGUGGGGGAGAGAGAAGAGAAGUUUCCUGGAGUUGAGUGUAUUUAUCUUUUUCUCUUGCUUUCUUUGUGCCUCUGCGGGCUUCCAGGGGAUUUGGCUUUCAGUGGGGUACCGUGAGUUUCUGGGUCCCCAGGAUAAAUCUCUCUCUGCCUCUCUUUCUGCCCUCUCUUUUUUAUCUCCCUCUGCAGUCUUCACCCCACUUGCUGGCCAGCUACUUCACAAUUGCCUCCCGCUUUUAAGGUGGCUCUGGACGGGUGUACGUGGGGAGUGGGGACUGUCUGGGUUGUUGGCGAACAGCUCCUUAAAUAGCCGAUUAAGCAUGCAGGAUGGCCUUGCUCAGAGCGCAGCGCAGCAGGUUUCACAGGGGCCCUGGCCCUGGCUCAGGAGCGCAGCUGGGAUAAGUUUUAUGUUUCAAAGUUCCCCCAAAGCCCCACUCAUCCCAUCUAAGAAGAAGAAAAGGCUUAAAGUGUAAAUUAGACUUCCUGGGAAUCAGGACAGUUAACACAGAGGAACAGAAAAAAGAAAGAAAGCAGAGACAUCUUUUGCAAGGUAGGAAAGAAGAGGCCCGGACAGAAUGACCUCUGCCAGGACAGAGUUCCCCUGGAGUGUCUGGGGCUGUGAUGCAGCCUCCCAAGGUAGGUAAUGUGUCUUACCAGGCGCCACCUCCUGGUUGUCUAUGAAUUUUUUAAUUUUUAAAGUUUCAAUUCAAAAUGUUUUGUGUGUGAUUCCUUCUGGGAAGUGUUUCACUACUGGUGGGCUUUGGGAUUUUGCCUACACAACUGAAUAAUGUUUCACAAAGAUGUCUUAGCCCCAAAUCAGCACCUUCCCACUUCUGAGUGAGCAGUCCCUCCAGGCCCUCAUGCUUCCCAAAAGGACAAAGGCCCUGGUAUCUAGGAGAGAGGGGGAAAGGAGGCAAACUCCAGGCACUUGCCUUUAUUUAUUUAUUUUUUAAAAAUUUUUAUCGGAGUUGCCUUUAUUUUUACCUUUGGCUUUACUGUGGAUAUUCCUGUUGUCACCAGGCUGAUUUGGAGUAGUGUCAGGAGGACCCCUACAUGUUAAAAAAAAAAAGCCCCCCACAGUUGCUACUCAAACUCUGACGCCUUUGUUUUAAUUCCUACUUCUCCCUCUAGCCCUUUGCUCACUCUGGGGUUGGCUGAAACCCUGCUAAAACCAAGUUCUGCUGCCUUCUGGCGCCAUCUCCUGUCCUUCCAAAUGCAGUGAACUAUGAACCAGUCAGAGAGUCAAAGGUAUCCAAGAGUGGUGACUUUUGGGUUUGUUUUUUCUCGCCUUGUUUUAUUUAUUUAUUUACUCGGCUGUGCCAGGUCUUAGUCGCGGCACGUGGGAUCUUUGUUGUGGCAUGCAUGUGAGAUCUAGUUCCCUGACCAGGGAUCGAGCCUGGCCCCCCUGCAUUGGGAGCGUGUAGUUUUAAGCACUGGACCACCAGGUAAGUCCCAAGGGUUUGUUUUUUCCUUAAGAG